UGAUCUAUCCAUGGCCAGGGUGAAGCGAAGGUAAGACUUCGUGGAGGCCCGAACCCACUUCAGUUGAAAAUGGAGGGGAUGAGCUGUGGAUAGGGGUGAAAGGCCAAUCAAACUCCGUGAUAGCUGGUUCUCCCCGAAAUGCAUUUAGGUGCAGCGUUGCGUGUUUCUUGCCGGAGGUAGAGCACUGGAUGGUCUAGGGGGCCUACAAGCUUACCGAAAUCAGCCAAACUCCGAAUGCCGGUAAGUGAGAGCGUGGCAGUGAGACUGUGGGGGAUAAGCUUCAUAGUCGAGAGGGAAACAGCCCAGAUCAUCAGCUAAGGCCCCUAAGUGGUGACUAAGUGGAAAAGGAUGUGGAGUUGCGUUGACAACCAGGAGGUUGGCUUGGAAGCAGCCAUCCUUGAAAGAGUGCGUAAUAGCUCACUGGUCAAGUGAUUCUGCGCCGAUAAUGUAGCGGGGCUCAAGUACACCGCCGAAGUUGUGGCAAUCAGUCUUUGUGGCUGGUUGGGUAGGGGAGCGUCCUGCACGAGGUGAAGCUGCCACGGGAGUGUGUGGUGGAUUGUGUGGGAGUGAGAAUGCAGGCAUGAGUAGCGAAUCACGGGUGAGAAACCCGUGCGCCGGAUGAUCAAGGGUUCCAGGGUCAAGUUAAUCUGCCCUGGGUUAGUCGGGGCCUAAGGCGAGGCCGACAGGCGUAGUCGAUGGAUAACGGGUUGAUAUUCCCGUACCAGUGAAGAACCGUCCAUACUGAUAUUGUGAUGCUAACCAUGCCGAACACGGUGUCAUGAAGUUUUCUUUGUGGUGUUGUGGGGUGUGUGGGACCCAGGCUUUGGAGGUAAGCGUGUUAACAGGUGUGACGCAGGAAGGUAGCCAAGCCACGCGGUGGUUGUCGUGGUCUAAGCGUGUAGGAUGACUGGUUGUUAAAUGCGCCGGUUGUGUGUCUGAGACGUGAUGGGACCCCUUGUUUGUGGGGGAUUUGGUGAUCCUAUGCUGCCGAGAAAAGCAUCGGCGUGAGGUUUUAGCUGCCCGUACCCGAAACCGACACAGGUGAUCAGGUAGAGAAUACUAAGGCGAUCGAGAGAAUCAUGGUUAAGGAACUCGGCAAAAUGCCCCCGUAACUUCGGGAGAAGGGGGGCCCGAACCCUGAAGCCCCUUUUGCGGGCUAGGGGGGAGGGUCGCAGAGGCCAGGGGGAAGCGACUGUUUACUAAAAACACAGGUCCGUGCGAAGCCGUAAGGCGAUGUAUACGGACUGACGCCUGCCCGGUGCUGGAAGGUUAAGAGGAACCAUCAACCCCCUUGUGGGGUGAAGUGGUGAAUUUAAGCCCCAGUAAACGGCGGUGGUAACUAUAACCAUCCUAAGGUAGCGAAAUUCCUUGUCGGGUAAGUUCCGACCUGCACGAAUGGAGUAACGAUUUGGGCGCUGUCUCCACCACGAACUCGGUGAAAUUGCAUUACGAGUAAAGAUGCUCGUUACGCGCAGCAGGACGGAAAGACCCCGGGACCUUUACUAUAGUUUGGUAUUGGUGAUCGGUGUGACUUGUGUAGGAUAGGUGGGAGACUGUGAAGCUGGGACGCUAGUUCUGGUGGAGUCGUCGUUGAAAUACCACUCUGGUUACUCUGGUUAUCUAACCUAGGGCCAUGAUCUGGUUCAGGGACAGUGCCUGAUGGGUAGUUUGACUGGGGCGGUCGCCUCCUAAAAGGUAACGGAGGCGCCCAAAGGUUCCCUCAGCCUGGUUGGCAAUCAGGUGUUGAGUGUAAGUGCACAAGGGAGCUUGACUGUGAGACUGACGGGUCGAGCAGGUACGAAAGUAGGAACUAGUGAUCCGGCGAUCCCGUGUGGGUGGGUCGUCGCUCAACGGAUAAAAGGUACCCCGGGGAUAACAGGCUGAUCCUGCCCAAGAGUCCAUAUCGACGGCAUGGUUUGGCACCUCGAUGUCGGCUCGUCGCAUCCUGGGGCUGGAGUCGGUCCCAAGGGUUGGGCUGUUCGCCCAUUAAAGCGGCACGCGAGCUGGGUUUAGAACGUCGUGAGACAGUUCGGUCCCUAUCCGCUGCGCGCGUAGGAGUCUUGAGAAGGGCUGUCUCUAGUACGAGAGGACCGGGACGGACUAACCUCUGGUGUGCCAGUUGUUCCACCAGGAGCACUGCUGGUUAGCUACGUUGGGAAGUGAUAACCGCUGAAAGCAUCUAAGCGGGAAGCACGCUUCAAGAUGA
RNAcentral lists this ribosomal RNA (2206 nucleotides) under human metagenome. RNAcentral's name for it is "bacterial LSU rRNA". It matches the Rfam family "Bacterial large subunit ribosomal RNA", at positions 726 to 2807 of the family's 2925-position model. The record is from RNAcentral.